CCUACGGGAGGUAGCAGUGGGGAAUAUUGGACAAUGGGGGCAACCCUGAUCCAGCCAUGCCGCGUGUGUGAAGAAGGCCCUCGGGUUGUAAAGCACUUUCAGUGAGGAAGAACGCCUGGUGGUUAAUACCCAUCAGGAAAGACAUCACUCACAGAAGAAGCACCGGCUAACUCCGUGCCAGCAGCCGCGGUAAUACGGAGGGUGCGAGCGUUAAUCGGAAUUACUGGGCGUAAAGCGCGCGUAGGUGGCUUGAUAAGCCGGUUGUGAAAGCCCCGGGCUCAACCUGGGAACGGCAUCCGGAACUGUCAAGCUAGAGUGCAGGAGAGGAAGGUAGAAUUCCCGGUGUAGCGGUGAAAUGCGUAGAGAUCGGGAGGAAUACCAGUGGCGAAGGCGGCCUUCUGGACUGACACUGACACUGAGGUGCGAAAGCGUGGGUAGCAAACAGGAUUAGAUACCCUUGUAGUC
Molecule: ribosomal RNA, 465 nt
Filed under: Vreelandella stevensii
Lineage: Bacteria; Pseudomonadati; Pseudomonadota; Gammaproteobacteria; Oceanospirillales; Halomonadaceae
Description: partial 16S ribosomal RNA
Rfam family: Bacterial small subunit ribosomal RNA
Source: RNAcentral